CCUACGGGUGGCAGCAGUGAGGAAUAUUGGUCAAUGGGAGAGAUCCUGAACCAGCCAAGCCGCGUGAGGGAAGACGGCCCUAUGGGUUGUAAACCUCUUUUGUCGGAGAACAAAACCCGGGACGUGUCCCGGACUGCGUGUAUCCGAAGAAAACGCCUCGGCUAACUCCGUGCCAGCAGCCGCGGUAAUACGGAGGAGGCGGGCGUUAGCCGGAUUUAUUGGGUUUAAAGGGUGCGUAGGCGGUCCGUUAAGUCAGCGGUAAAAUUGCGGGGCUCAACCUCUUCGAGCCGUUGAAACUGGUUUUCUUGAGUGAGCGAGAAGUAUGCGGAAUGCGUGGUGUAGCGGUGAAAUGCAUAGAUAUCACGCAGAACUCCGAUUGCGAAGGCAGCAUACCGGCGCUCAACUGACGCUCAUGCACGAAAGUGUGGGUAUCGAACAGGAUUAGAUACCCUGGUAGUC
Molecule: ribosomal RNA, 459 nt
Filed under: uncultured bacterium
Lineage: Bacteria
Description: partial 16S ribosomal RNA
Rfam family: Bacterial small subunit ribosomal RNA
Source: RNAcentral